UGCACGGUGGCUUAGUGGUUAGCACGUUCGCCUCACGCCUCGGGUCCGGGGUUCGAUUCCCGGGUGUGUGC
This 71-nucleotide transfer RNA is filed under the name Ameiurus melas (black bullhead). RNAcentral's name for it is "tRNA-Sec". Lineage: Eukaryota; Metazoa; Chordata; Actinopteri; Siluriformes; Ictaluridae. The record is from RNAcentral.